This 663-nucleotide long non-coding RNA is filed under the name Mus musculus (house mouse). RNAcentral describes it as "predicted gene 13802". Lineage: Eukaryota; Metazoa; Chordata; Mammalia; Rodentia; Muridae. The record is from RNAcentral.
UUCUGUGGACCCUUCCUCCUAAAGACUCCUCCUGCAGACUCUACUCCUUUCAAGGGGUCAAAGAGGUCACUUUUGACAGGCUCUCUGGCCACAGGCUGCACAGAUCUGCCAGCCAGCCUGGAUUGAGCUUGUUUGGGGCCAGAUGCUGAGCCAGACCACAGAGCCCACAGGCCAGUGUUCACCAGGAGUGGCCCUUAAUGGAGACCUCAACCUGGAGUGGUCCUGAUAGAGACCUCAACCUGGAGUGGUCCUUGAUGGAGCCCUCAACCUGGAGUGGUCCUGAUGGAGACCUCAACCUGGAGUGGUCCUGAUGGAGACCUCAACCUGGAGUGGUCCUUGAUGGAGCCCUCAACCUGGAGUGGUCCUGAUGGAGACCUCAACCUGGAGUGGUCCUGAUGGAGACCUCAACCUGGAGUGGUCCUUGAUGGAGCCCUCAACCUGGAGUGGUCCUGAUGGAGACCUCAACCUGGAGUGGUCCUGAUGGAGACCUCAACCUGGAGUGGUCCUGAUGGAGACCUGCUCCUUCCAAGGAGGCUUCCCUGCUGAUCCCCACUUCCAUUGUCACCCCACCCUCCACGCCUAGCUUGCUCACUGCAACAGGCUCCUGAAGCCUCAGAGUCCCCCUACACAGAAGAUGGCUCAGCCAGAAUAGGCAAGUGGCCA